GACGAACGCUGGCGGUGUGCUUAACACAUGCAAGUCGAACGGACAGGCCCUGCUUUUGUGGGGUGCUCGAGUGGCGAACGGGUGAGUAACACGUGAGUAACCUGCCCUUGACUGUGGGAUAACUUCAUGAAACUGGUGCUAAUACCGGAUAGGAGCUCCUGCUGCAUGUUGGGGGUUGGAUAGUUUCGGCGGUUGGGGAUGGACUCGCGGCUUAUCAGCUUGUUGGUGGGGUAGUGGCUUACCAAGGCUUUGACGGGUAGCCGGCCUGAGAGGGUGACCGGCCACAUUGGGACUGAGAUACGGCCCAGACUCCUACGGGAGGCAGCAGUGGGGAAUAUUGCACAAUGGGCGGAAGCCUGAUGCAGCAACGCCGCGUGCGGGAUGACGGCCUUCGGGUUGUAAACCGCUUUCGCCUGUGACGAAGCGUGAGUGACGGUAAUGGGUAAAGAAGCACCGGCUAACUACGUG
This 468-nucleotide ribosomal RNA is filed under the name uncultured bacterium. RNAcentral's name for it is "partial 16S ribosomal RNA". It matches the Rfam family "Bacterial small subunit ribosomal RNA", at positions 28 to 507 of the family's 1533-position model. The record is from RNAcentral.